GCUGAGGCCGCGUCUCCACGGGCGGAGGGGGCAUUCACUGAGUUGCCUUUGUAUGCUGGGAGGACCAAGCCGGAGGUUCCCACUAUGAGCCCGGAGUCUGUGCAGCCAGAUGACGCAUGAGCCUCUGCCUCUGAAUGUGAAGGGAAACUGGACCAGCUCAGUGUCAAGCCUGACUGCUCCUGACCACAGGAUAUGCCUGGUCCAGGAAAUGGCCACAUUUCCCCCCUCAGAACCUCUACUUGGAUGGGCUGUCUUGGAAAUAAGUAUACUGGAUUGGAAACCCAUUCAAUCUGAUGUCUGCUGAGGAAUGGAGAAAGACCACUGGUGAUUCCUCCAUCCUCACUCCUGUGUCCCUCCUUGCAUUGCAAGUGCUUUACAAGUCUUCCCGAUAGACCAUGAGCAUCCUGAGGGCUGGUAUCAAAUUUAACUCAUCUCCUAUCCUCAGUGCCUCGUACAAGAUGCUGGAUGUAGGAGGAGUUCAGAAGCUCAAACUGAGGCAGAAUCACAGCGAUUUGGAAAAUGGUCCAAUCAGCUAUAGUGGAAGAGCAGAAUCACUGAAUAUAAAACAUGGACAUGUCAGCAGCAGGGGCUGUGGGCUGAACAGCUUCACUGGGAAGAGGAUAUGGGUGAGAAGGUACAGCAAUGGGUACCUCCAUUAACAGUUACCAGAGUCACGUUUUGAAAUCUCAGAUCUGAGCAUCUAUCCUCAAAUAGAGCCCUACAUGGCUCCCAGUUCCUCCAGGAGAAGGUCCAAAUCCCUUAAGAUGACUUUAAGGCCCUCAAAUGUUCCAGGCUCUGUACGUUCUUGUGCCACAACUAUGCCACAACAAAACAGUUUUUCCCCCAUUUCUACUUUGUUUUUCCAGUUGUAGAGUCAAAGCCUCAAGAAGGGGAAAGGGACGAAUGGACACCAGGUCAUGUGACAGGUAGCUGGGAAGUGAAUACUUCUAUUUUCUAUUCUUUUUUUUUUUUUUUUUUGAGAUGGAGUCUCACACUGUUGCCCGGGCUGGAGUGCAAUGGCGCAAUCUCAGCUCACUGCAACCUCUGCCUCCCAGGUUCACAGAUUCUCCUGCCUCAGCCUCCCGAGUAGCUGGGAUUACAGGCGCGCACCACCACGUCUGGCUAAUUUUUUGUAUUUUUUAGUAGAGAUGGGGUUUCCCUAUGUUGGCCAGACUGGUUUCAAACUCCUGACCUCGUGAUCCGCCUGCCUCGGCCUCCCAAAGUGCUGGGAUUACAGGUGUGAGCCACCGCACCUGGCCAAAUACUUCUAUUUUCAUCUCUUAGGAAAACAUAUGAUGUAAAUCACUGUUCCCAUAUUCAAAUUUAAAUGAUGGCUUACCUCUCUGGGGAUGUUUGUAUUUGAAUGAAGCAGCAAGUUUUUGCCACACUGUAAUACUUUAACUACAGAUAUUUUGACUCCUUCUGUUUCUGAUUUGCUUUCAUAA
Long non-coding RNA from Gorilla gorilla gorilla (western lowland gorilla), 1445 nucleotides. RefSeq lists it as uncharacterized. The transcript is spliced from 7 exons. The record is from RefSeq and is a predicted model, not a curated record. Lineage: Eukaryota; Metazoa; Chordata; Mammalia; Primates; Hominidae.